GAUCAUGGCUCAGGAUGAACGCUAGCUACAGGCUUAACACAUGCAAGUCGAGGGGCAGCAUGGUCUUAGCUUGCUAAGGCUGAUGGCGACCGGCGCACGGGUGAGUAACACGUAUCCAACCUGCCGUCUACUCUUGGCCAGCCUUCUGAAAGGAAGAUUAAUCCAGGAUGGGAUCAUGAGUUCACAUGUCCGCAUGAUUAAAGGUAAUUUUCCGGUUUACGGUACGAAUGGGAGG
RNAcentral lists this ribosomal RNA (235 nucleotides) under uncultured bacterium. RNAcentral describes it as "partial 16S ribosomal RNA". It matches the Rfam family "Bacterial small subunit ribosomal RNA", at positions 15 to 238 of the family's 1533-position model. The record is from RNAcentral.